This 241-nucleotide ribosomal RNA is filed under the name uncultured bacterium. RNAcentral's name for it is "partial 16S ribosomal RNA". It matches the Rfam family "Bacterial small subunit ribosomal RNA", at positions 15 to 252 of the family's 1533-position model. The record is from RNAcentral.
GAUCCUGCUCAGGACGAACGCUGGCGGCGCGCCUAACACAUGCAAGUCGAACGAGAGAGAAGGAGCUUGCUUCUUCGAUCGAGUGGCGAACGGGUGAGUAACGCGUGAGGAACCUGCCUCAAAGAGGGGGACAACAGUUGGAAACGACUGCUAAUACCGCAUAAGCCCACGGGUCGGCAUCGAUCUGAGGGAAAAGGAGCGAUCCGCUUUGAGAUGGCCUCGCGUCCGAUUAGCUAGUUGG